This 505-nucleotide ribosomal RNA is filed under the name uncultured bacterium. Its description in RNAcentral is "partial 16S ribosomal RNA". It matches the Rfam family "Bacterial small subunit ribosomal RNA", at positions 29 to 523 of the family's 1533-position model. The record is from RNAcentral.
AGUGAACGCUGGCGGUAGGCCUAACACAUGCAAGUCGAACGGCAGCACAGAGGAGCUUGCUCCUUGGGUGGCGAGUGGCGGACGGGUGAGGAAUACAUCGGAAUCUACUCUGUCGUGGGGGAUAACGUAGGGAAACUUACGCUAAUACCGCAUACGACCUACGGGUGAAAGCAGGGGACCUUCGGGCCUUGCGCGAUUGAAUGAGCCGAUGUCGGAUAGCUAGUUGGCGGGGUAAAGGCCCACCAAGGCGACGAUCCGUAGCUGGUCUGAGAGGAGGAUCAGCCACACUGGAACUGAGACACGGUCCAGACUCCUAUGGGAGGCAGCAGUGGGGAAUAUUGGACAAUGGGCGCAAGCCUGAUCCAGCCAUACCGCGUGGGUGAAGAAGGCCUUCGGGUUGUAAAGCCCUUUUGUUGGGAAAGAAAUCCAGCUGGCUAAUACCCGGUUGGGAUGACGGUACCCAAAGAAUAAGCACCGGCUAACUUCGUGCCAGCCGCCGCCGUAA